Molecule: ribosomal RNA, 643 nt
Filed under: Acanthogorgia spissa
Lineage: Eukaryota; Metazoa; Cnidaria; Anthozoa; Malacalcyonacea; Acanthogorgiidae
Description: partial 28S ribosomal RNA
Rfam family: Eukaryotic large subunit ribosomal RNA
Source: RNAcentral
AAACCGUUGAAAGGGAAGCGAAUGGAGUUAGCAAUUCGCCCUGCCAGAUUCAGUUGCUCGCACGUCGCGACGUACGCGCUCUCGAUCCGCAUGGACGAGACGUGUGCGGGUGCGACGUGCGGUCUGCGCACUUCUGGCGAGCGAGCGUCAGCGUCGGUUGUCGACGGGCGACAAGGAUGCGGGGAAUGUGCGCCGGCCUUCGCGGCCGGUUGUUAUAGCCCCGCGAUCGCAUAGCUCGACGGCGACCGUGGCUCUGCGACGCGUGCCUGGCUGGCGACUCGAACGAUCGUUUCGGCAUGUCGACCGUGGCGGACGGCACGCCUGUGCGCUCGAACUGCUGCCGGCCGAUCGGACGAUGUUCGCACACUACGCGUCGAGGAUGCUGACGGCCAUACGGCUCCAUCCGACCCGUCUUGAAACACGGACCAAGGAGUCUAACAUGUGCGCGAGUCUCCGGGUGAUCGAAACCUGUGGGCGCAAUGAAAGUAAAGAUCGUCCUAGACGGUUGAGGUGAGAAGCGAACGCCUCGGCGUUCGCGGCAUCAUCGACCGACCUAUUCUGCUCUCAGAAAGGUUUGAGUAAGAGCGUAUCUGUUGGGACCCGAAAGAUGGUGAACUAUGCCUGAAUAGGGUGAAGCCAGCGG